RNAcentral lists this ribosomal RNA (433 nucleotides) under uncultured bacterium. Its description in RNAcentral is "partial 16S ribosomal RNA". It matches the Rfam family "Bacterial small subunit ribosomal RNA", at positions 29 to 507 of the family's 1533-position model. The record is from RNAcentral.
AACGAACGCUGGCGGCAUGCCUAACACAUGCAAGUCGAACGAGACCUUCGGGUCUAGUGGCGCACGGGUGCGUAACGCGUGGGAACCUGCCCUUAGGUUCGGAAUAACUCCCCGAAAGGGGUGCUAAUACCGGAUAAUGUCUUCGGACCAAAGAUUUAUCGCCUGUGGAUGGGCCCGCGUUGGAUUAGCUAGUUGGUAGGGUAAAAGCCUACCAAGGCGACGAUCCAUAGCUGGUCUGAGAGGAUGAUCAGCCACACUGGGACUGAGACACGGCCCAGACUCCUACGGGAGGCAGCAGUGGGGAAUAUUGGACAAUGGGCGAAAGCCUGAUCCAGCAAUGCCGCGUGAGUGAUGAAGGACUUAGGGUUGUAAAGCUCUUUUACCCGGGAUGAUAAUGACAGUACCGGGAGAAUAAGCUCCGGCUAACUCCGUG